Molecule: non-coding RNA, 273 nt
Organism: Chelonoidis abingdonii (Abingdon island giant tortoise)
Lineage: Eukaryota; Metazoa; Chordata; Testudines; Testudinidae
Source: RefSeq, a predicted model, not a curated record
AAUGAAACAACAUCAUGAGAAGUGUUCCUUAUCAGGAGGAAGCUGCGUUGAAGAUGAUGAAAGGUACCUGUUUGAACAUGCAGAAUCUUCAGGAGAAUCCGUCCUCAACACACAGAAUUCUGAAAACUAUCCACCAUCAAGAUCACCAUCAUUUUCUAUAGUUUCAGAGUUAUCUGCCAAUGAUAGUGUUUCAGUCACAUCAUGUAUGUUACACAGCCACAGUAUAUCAUCUGUAGCAGAAAUGAUAAAAAAAUCUCCAUCAUCCAGAAACAA